RNAcentral lists this ribosomal RNA (606 nucleotides) under Nocardia brasiliensis. RNAcentral's name for it is "bacterial SSU rRNA". It matches the Rfam family "Bacterial small subunit ribosomal RNA", at positions 46 to 669 of the family's 1533-position model. The record is from RNAcentral. Lineage: Bacteria; Bacillati; Actinomycetota; Actinomycetes; Mycobacteriales; Nocardiaceae.
GCUUAACACAUGCAAGUCGAGCGGUAAGGCCCUUCGGGGUACACGAGCGGCGAACGGGUGAGUAACACGUGGGUGAUCUGCCUCGCACUUCGGGAUAAGCCUGGGAAACUGGGUCUAAUACCGGAUAUGACCUUUCAGUGCAUGCUGUUGGGUGGAAAGAUUUAUCGGUGCGAGAUGGGCCCGCGGCCUAUCAGCUUGUUGGCGGGGUAACGGCCCACCAAGGCGACGACGGGUAGCCGACCUGAGAGGGUGACCGGCCACACUGGGACUGAGACACGGCCCAGACUCCUACGGGAGGCAGCAGUGGGGAAUAUUGCACAAUGGGCGGAAGCCUGAUGCAGCGACGCCGCGUGAGGGAUGACGGCCUUCGGGUUGUAAACCUCUUUCGACAGGGACGAAGCGCAAGUGACGGUACCUGUAGAAGAAGCACCGGCCAACUACGUGCCAGCAGCCGCGGUAAUACGUAGGGUGCGAGCGUUGUCCGGAAUUACUGGGCGUAAAGAGCUUGUAGGCGGUUUGUCGCGUCGUCCGUGAAAACUUGGGGCUCAACCCCAAGCUUGCGGGCGAUACGGGCAGGCUUGAGUACUUCAGGGGAGACUGGAAUUC